RNAcentral lists this ribosomal RNA (492 nucleotides) under uncultured bacterium. RNAcentral describes it as "partial 16S ribosomal RNA". It matches the Rfam family "Bacterial small subunit ribosomal RNA", at positions 29 to 507 of the family's 1533-position model. The record is from RNAcentral.
AGUGAACGCUGGCGGUAGGCCUAACACAUGCAAGUCGAACGGCAGCACAGUAAGAGCUUGCUCUUACGGGUGGCGAGUGGCGGACGGGUGAGGAAUACAUCGGAAUCUACUUUUUCGUGGGGGAUAACGUAGGGAAACUUACGCUAAUACCGCAUACGACCUACGGGUGAAAGCAGGGGAUCUUCGGACCUUGCGCGAUUGAAUGAGCCGAUGUCGGAUUAGCUAGUUGGCGGGGUAAAGGCCCACCAAGGCGACGAUCCGUAGCUGGUCUGAGAGGAUGAUCAGCCACACUGGAACUGAGACACGGUCCAGACUCCUACGGGAGGCAGCAGUGGGGAAUAUUGGACAAUGGGCGCAAGCCUGAUCCAGCCAUACCGCGUGGGUGAAGAAGGCCUUCGGGUUGUAAAGCCCCUUUGUUGGGAAAGAAAAGCAGCAGGUUAAUACCCCGCUGUUCUGACGGUGCCCAAAGAAUAAGCACCGGCUAACUUCGUG